This 468-nucleotide ribosomal RNA is filed under the name uncultured bacterium. RNAcentral's name for it is "partial 16S ribosomal RNA". It matches the Rfam family "Bacterial small subunit ribosomal RNA", at positions 28 to 507 of the family's 1533-position model. The record is from RNAcentral.
GACGAACGCUGGCGGCGUGCUUAACACAUGCAAGUCGAACGGAAAGGCCCGGCUUUUGUGGGGUGCUCGAGUGGCGAACGGGUGAGUAACACGUGAGUAACCUGCCCUUGACUGUGGGAUAACUUCAGGAAACUGGGGCUAAUACCGGAUAGGAUCUCCUGCUGCAGGGUGGGGGUGGGAAAGUUUCGGCGGUUGGGGAUGGACUCGCGGCUCAUCCGCUUGUUGGUGGGGUAGUGGAUUAGCAAGGCUUUGACGGGUAGCCGGCCUGGGAGGGUGACCGGCCCCGUUGGGCCUGAACUACGGCCCAGCCUCGUCCGGGAGGCAGCAGUGGGGAAUAUUGCACAAUGCGCGGAAGCCUGAUGCAGCAACGCCGCGUGCGGGAUGACGGCCUUCGGGUUGUAAACCGCUUUCGCCUGUGACGAAGCGUGAGUGACGGUAAUGGGUAAAGAAGCUCCGGCUAACUACGUG